GGGUGAGUAACACGUGGGUAACCUACCUAUAAGACUGGGAUAACUUCGGGAAACCGGAGCUAAUACCGGAUAAUAUUUCGAACCGCAUGGUUCGAUAGUGAAAGAUGGUUUUGCUAUCACUUAUAGAUGGACCCGCGCCGUAUUAGCUAGUUGGUAAGGUAACGGCUUACCAAGGCGACGAUACGUAGCCGACCUGAGAGGGUGAUCGGCCACACUGGAACUGAGACACGGUCCAGACUCCUACGGGAGGCAGCAGUAGGGAAUCUUCCGCAAUGGGCGAAAGCCUGACGGAGCAACGCCGCGUGAGUGAUGAAGGUCUUCGGAUCGUAAAACUCUGUUAUUAGGGAAGAACAUACGUGUAAGUAACUGUGCACGUCUUGACGGUACCUAAUCAGAAAGCCACGGCUAACUACGUGCCAGCAGCCGCGGUAAUACGUAGGUGGCAAGCGUUAUCCGGAAUUAUUGGGCGUAAAGCGCGCGUAGGCGGUC
This 489-nucleotide ribosomal RNA is filed under the name uncultured bacterium. RNAcentral's name for it is "bacterial SSU rRNA". It matches the Rfam family "Bacterial small subunit ribosomal RNA", at positions 104 to 580 of the family's 1533-position model. The record is from RNAcentral.